This 197-nucleotide ribosomal RNA is filed under the name uncultured bacterium. RNAcentral's name for it is "partial 16S ribosomal RNA". It matches the Rfam family "Bacterial small subunit ribosomal RNA", at positions 328 to 539 of the family's 1533-position model. The record is from RNAcentral.
ACGCUCGACACCUACGGAGGCAGCAGUGGGGAAUAUUGCACAAUGGGGGAAACCCUGAUGCAGCGACGCCGCGUGAAGGAAGAAGUAUCUCGGUAUGUAAACUUCUAUCAGCAGGGAAGAAAGUGACGGUACCUGACUAAGAAGCCCCGGCUAACUACGUGCCNGCAGCCGCGGUAAUCUGAGCGGGCUGGCAAGGC